This 163-nucleotide microRNA precursor is filed under the name Oryza brachyantha (malo sina). Its description in RNAcentral is "MIR812 microRNA precursor family". It matches the Rfam family "MIR812 microRNA precursor family". The record is from Rfam by way of RNAcentral. Lineage: Eukaryota; Viridiplantae; Streptophyta; Magnoliopsida; Poales; Poaceae.
UUUGAUUUCUGUGUCCAAAGUUUGACCAUUCGUCUUAUUUAACAAAAUUGUACAAAAACUUCAAAAAAUUUAUGUGUGACUAAUUUUUUUAAAGUUUUUUACAAUUUUUUAAAUAAGACGAAUGGUCAAACUUUGGACAUAGAAAUUGAAAAAUGAUGUUAUU